GACGAACGCUGGCGGCGUGCUUAACACAUGCAAGUCGAACGGAAAGGCCCCUUCGGGGUCCUCGCGUGGCGACCAGGUGAGUAACACGUGAGUAACCUGCCCUUGACUUCGGGAUAACUUCAGGAAACUGGGGCUAAUACCGGAUAGGAAUCCUUGCUGCAUGGUGGGGGUUGGAAAGCUUCGGCGGUUUUGGAUGGACUCGCGGCUUAUCAGCUUGUUGGUGGGGUAGUGGCUUACCAAGGCUUUGACGGGUAGCCGGCCUGAGAGGGCGACCGGCCACAUUGGGACUGAGAUACGGCCCAGACUCCUACGGGAGGCAGCAGUGGGGAAUAUUGCACAAUGGGCGGAAGCCUGAUGCAGCAACGCCGCGUGCGGGAUGACGGCCUUCGGGUUGUAAACCGCUUUCAGCAGGGGCGAAGCUUGUGGUGACGGUACCUGCAGAAGAAGCACCGGCUAACUACGUG
RNAcentral lists this ribosomal RNA (464 nucleotides) under uncultured bacterium. Its description in RNAcentral is "partial 16S ribosomal RNA". It matches the Rfam family "Bacterial small subunit ribosomal RNA", at positions 28 to 507 of the family's 1533-position model. The record is from RNAcentral.